Molecule: non-coding RNA, 31 nt
Filed under: Homo sapiens (human)
Lineage: Eukaryota; Metazoa; Chordata; Mammalia; Primates; Hominidae
Source: RNAcentral
UGGUGUCCCUACUUGCUAAAAAAUAGAUCCA